This 472-nucleotide ribosomal RNA is filed under the name uncultured bacterium. RNAcentral describes it as "partial 16S ribosomal RNA". It matches the Rfam family "Bacterial small subunit ribosomal RNA", at positions 28 to 507 of the family's 1533-position model. The record is from RNAcentral.
GACGAACGCUGGCGGCGUGCUUAACACAUGCAAGUCGAACGCUGAAGCUUGGUGCUUGCACUGGGUGGAUGAGUGGCGAACGGGUGAGUAAUACGUGAGUAACCUGCCCUUGACUCUGGGAUAAGCCUGGGAAACUGGGUCUAAUACUGGAUACGACAUGUCACCGCAUGGUGGUGUGUGGAAAGGGUUUUACUGGUUUUGGAUGGGCUCACGACCUAUCAGCUUGUUGGUGGGGUAAUGGCUCACCAAGGCGACGACGGGUAGCCGGCCUGAGAGGGUGACCGGCCACACUGGGACUGAGACACGGCCCAGACUCCUACGGGAGGCAGCAGUGGGGAAUAUUGCACAAUGGGCGGAAGCCUGAUGCAGCGACGCCGCGUGAGGGAUGACGGCCUUCGGGUUGUAAACCUCUUUCAGCACGGAAGAAGCGAAAGUGACGGUACGUGCAGAAGAAGCGCCGGCUAACUACGUG